RNAcentral lists this transfer RNA (72 nucleotides) under Caerostris darwini. Its description in RNAcentral is "tRNA-Pro". It matches the Rfam family "tRNA". Rfam says of the family: Transfer RNA (tRNA) molecules are approximately 80 nucleotides in length. Their secondary structure includes four short double-helical elements and three loops (D, anti-codon, and T loops). Lineage: Eukaryota; Metazoa; Arthropoda; Arachnida; Araneae; Araneidae. The record is from RNAcentral.
GGUUCGGUGGUCUAGGGGUAUGAUUCUCGCUUAGGAUGCGAGAGGUCCCGGGUUCAAAUCCCGGCCGGACCC